RNAcentral lists this ribosomal RNA (887 nucleotides) under Latilactobacillus sakei. RNAcentral's name for it is "bacterial SSU rRNA". It matches the Rfam family "Bacterial small subunit ribosomal RNA", at positions 576 to 1461 of the family's 1533-position model. The record is from RNAcentral. Lineage: Bacteria; Bacillati; Bacillota; Bacilli; Lactobacillales; Lactobacillaceae.
CGGUUUAUUAAGUCCGAUGUGAAAGCCCACGGCUCAACCGAAGAAGUGCAUCGGAAACUGGGAAACUUGAGUGCAGAAGAGGACAGUGGAACUCCAUGUGUAGCGGUGAAAUGCGUAGAUAUAUGGAAGAACACCAGUGGCGAAGGCGGCUGUCUGGUCUGUAACUGACGCUGAGGCUCGAAAGCAUGGGUAGCAAACAGGAUUAGAUACCCUGGUAGUCCAUGCCGUAAACGAUGAGUGCUAGGUGUUGGAGGGUUUCCGCCCUUCAGUGCCGCAGCUAACGCAUUAAGCACUCCGCCUGGGGAGUACGACCGCAAGGUUGAAACUCAAAGGAAUUGACGGGGGCCCGCACAAGCGGUGGAGCAUGUGGUUUAAUUCGAAGCAACGCGAAGAACCUUACCAGGUCUUGACAUCCUUUGACCACUCUAGAGAUAGAGCUUUCCCUUCGGGGACAAAGUGACAGGUGGUGCAUGGUUGUCGUCAGCUCGUGUCGUGAGAUGUUGGGUUAAGUCCCGCAACGAGCGCAACCCUUAUUACUAGUUGCCAGCAUUUAGUUGGGCACUCUAGUGAGACUGCCGGUGACAAACCGGAGGAAGGUGGGGACGACGUCAAAUCAUCAUGCCCCUUAUGACCUGGGCUACACACGUGCUACAAUGGAUGGUACAACGAGUUGCGAGACCGCGAGGUUUAGCUAAUCUCUUAAAACCAUUCUCAGUUCGGAUUGUAGGCUGCAACUCGCCUACAUGAAGCCGGAAUCGCUAGUAAUCGCGGAUCAGCAUGCCGCGGUGAAUACGUUCCCGGGCCUUGUACACACCGCCCGUCACACCAUGAGAGUUUGUAACACCCAAAGCCGGUGAGGUAACCCUUCGGGGAGCCAGCCGUCUAAG